UAUAUAAGAAUUGAUGCGCCCACCAGCUUCUUCUCCCAUUUUUUUUCUUUUUUUUCGGCCCCUUUAAUACUAAAACGACGUCGUUUUAGUAUUUUCCACUGCAAAAGUAACUAAGAGCAUUUUUCUUUUCCAAUUUCAUAUAAUAUGGACGGUACUCAGACGUGGGGGCCCAUGGUCGGUUUAUGAUGUCAAAUGACGUACGGCCCAUUUUUUUAUGUUUGUUUCUCUCUCCUGCAUUUAAUAUUUGCCAAGAAAUUUCAUCUUCCUUAUUUUUUUUCCUCCAUGUGUAUUCAAUUAUUACUUUGCUGUUCUGCAACCUCUCUCUUUAAAUCCAGAGGAGAGAGAAAUACCAUAGCCAUCUUCUCUCACUAGCCAGGUUGCCGCCGUCUCUCUCUUAAAACUCCUACACCACUGGCCCGCCGGCUGCCGACAUGUAGUGGAUUCACGGAAGUCCUGCCGCUUCAGGCGCCGGCCGGCAUCGACGACGCUGCUUCCACCACAUGUGCGGAGAAGAACCUCAUCUCCGUCGUGCACUCCGAUGAGGACCUCAAGGGUUUCGAUUCUUUUAACAAUUUUUUUUCGGAUUUGUUUCUUCUUCGCUUCAAUUUAGCUUUUUACCAAUCUAAAAUUUCUCUUUCAAACAAAUUACAGAUAUAGGUGAACAAAUUUCUUUUCUCCGGGGUCGGCACUCUGCGCGGGACCCAUGGUCGGUGUUUGACAUCCCUCAAACCGCCAAUUCGCAUCUGUUCGGAUUCAGGAUUCCAACAAUUGCAGCGAAUUUGGUGUAAUUCGUCACGAAUUACGUGAAGCAACACGUAAGAAUGAAUAAGGAGCUAGGCGGAUGCUGCUGAAGACACAUUUUGGACUACCGACACCAAUGGCUUAGCGUGCAAUUCCAAUUCAAUUAUUGUUGAACAUAGCAAUAUAAUUGUUGCACUAUUGUUUAUCAAGCAGUUGAAAAUUCGAAAA
Molecule: non-coding RNA, 969 nt
Organism: Erythranthe guttata (spotted monkey flower)
Lineage: Eukaryota; Viridiplantae; Streptophyta; Magnoliopsida; Lamiales; Phrymaceae
Source: RefSeq, a predicted model, not a curated record